This 1012-nucleotide long non-coding RNA is filed under the name Capra hircus (goat). RNAcentral's name for it is "lncRNA (ENSCHIG00010007817.1)". The record is from RNAcentral. Lineage: Eukaryota; Metazoa; Chordata; Mammalia; Artiodactyla; Bovidae.
AUUACUGGAAAAACCAUAGCUUUAACUAGACAGACCUUUGUUGGUAAAGUGAUGUCUCUGCUUUAAUAUGCUGCCUAGGCUUGUUGCAGCACUCAGAAUUUGAGGAACCAGGAUUGACCCUUUCCUCCAACUCUUCUCCCAGUGCACCACUGGUCCGGGAGUCAGGACGAAUGCGUGUCAGCUCUGUCUCUGCCACCUUCCUUGGGAUAUCAGGAAAGCUCUCUUUAGUACCAGUUUCCUCAUCUGACAAACGCAUGGCUCACACUAGGCCUUCCACAAAUCCAGCACUUAGUGAUUCACUAUAUCAUCACCCACUCCUAAUGUUCUGUUUGAGGGAUUUAGUAUUUUUAUCUUCUUUUUUAAAAAAAAUCAGGAAUUUGAGCCUGUAGCCAAUGAACUUUCCUCCCCCGUUAUGAGAAACAAUCCUCAGAAUCCCAAGGAAACCAGGUCCAGGACUUCUCCCAGGGGAGGUUUCUGCAUGCGCAUAACGUACUCUGUCUUAAAAAAAAAAAACAAAACUCUUGACGUCCUUCCCUCCAGUGAAGUCAAUGACUUGCAACUUCCUUUCCCAAGUCCCCACAGAAUUUUAGGCAAAUUAACGCAGGAGCAUUUGAUCUUCUCCCCAGAUGUUUUGAUCACAGAAGGGCCACAUAUGUGCACACAUUCCUGGAUAUUUUUAGGUUUUUUUAUAAGCUCCAAAGUUCUAACUGCUUUUUCACUCCGCGCAUUGUGGGCACUGCCGGGAGAUGUUCCUGCCGAAGCUGCCAAGGCAGGGUCUGGUGGAAGGGGGCCUGGCCCGGGAAGGCUCCCGGAAGUUGCUCUGAGCGAUCCUGGAUGCUGCAUGGCUUCAGUCCCUGAGGCCUCUCUGGCCACUAAGAGAACACAAACCGCUGCCAGAGCACAGCCCCACCCUGCAGCUUCCAGAACCCUUGGCUCCGGGACUUUCUCAGGCUCUCCUCUUUGCAUUGUCAAAACGGAACAGACUGCGCAGAAGGAACGUGUUUGGUGCUGA